CAAAAUUCAAUUGAAGAGUUUGAUCAUGGCUCAGAUUGAACGCUGGCGGUAACUUUUAAACAUGCAAGUCGAGCGGUAACAGACAUAAAGAUUCAGCUUGCUGAAUCCGGUGCUGACGAGCGGCGAACGGGUGAGUAACGCGUAGGAAUCUACCCAGUAGCGGGGGAUAGCCCGAGGAAACUCGGAUUAAUACCGCAUACGCCCUGAGGGGGAAAGGGGGCAAUUUAUUGCUCUCACUAUUGGAUGAGCCUGCGUAAGAUUAGCUUGUUGGUAGGGUAAUGGCCUACCAAGGCGACGAUCUUUAGCUGGUCUGAGAGGACGAUCAGCCACAUUGGGACUGAGACACGGCCCAGACAUCUACGGAUGGCAGCAGUUAAGAAUAUUGGACAAUGGGGGCAACCCUGAUCCAGGUAUACCGCGUGUGUGAAGAAGGCCCUAGGGUUGUAAAGCACUUUAAUCAGAGAAGAAGCAUUUUAAGUUAAUACCUUAAUUUGUUGACGUUA
RNAcentral lists this ribosomal RNA (503 nucleotides) under Gammaproteobacteria bacterium. RNAcentral's name for it is "bacterial SSU rRNA". It matches the Rfam family "Bacterial small subunit ribosomal RNA", at positions 1 to 477 of the family's 1533-position model. Lineage: Bacteria; Pseudomonadati; Pseudomonadota; Gammaproteobacteria. The record is from RNAcentral.